UUAGAGUUUGAUCCUGGCUCAGGACGAACGCUGGCGGCGUGCCUAACACAUGCAAGUCGAGCGAAUGAAAUUCCUUCGGGAACGGAUUUAGCGGCGGACGGGUGAGUAACACGUGGGCAACCUGCCUCAUAGAGGGGAAUAGCCUUCCGAAAGGGAGAUUAAUACCGCAUAAGAUUGUAGUACCGCAUGGUACAGCAAUUAAAGGAGCAAUCCGCUAUGAGAUGGGCCCGCGGCGCAUUAGCUAGUUGGUGAGGUAACGGCUCACCAAGGCGACGAUGCGUAGCCGACCUGAGAGGGUGAUCGGCCACAUUGGGACUGAGACACGGCCCAGACUCCUACGGGAGGCAGCAGUGGGGAAUAUUGCACAAUGGGGGAAACCCUGAUGCAGCAACGCCGCGUGAGUGAUGACGGCCUUAGGGUUGUAAAGCUCUGUCUUCAGGGACGAUAAUGACGGUACCUGAGGAGGAAGCCACGGCUAACUACGUGCCAGCAGCCGCGGUAAUACGUAGGUGGCGAGCGUUGUCCGGAUUUACUGGGCGUAAAGGGAGCGUAGGCGGAUUUUUAAGUGAGAUGUGAAAUACUCGGGCUUAACCUGAGUGCUGCAUUUCAAACUGGGAAGUCUAGAGUGCAGGAGAGGAGAAGGGAAUUCCUAGUGUAGGCGGGGAAAUGCGUAGAAAUUAGGAAGACCACCAGUGGCGAAAGGCGCUUCUCUGGACUGUAACUGACGCUGAGGCUCGAAAGGCGGGGGGAACAAACAGGAAUUAAAUACCCCUGUUAAGUCCCCGCCCGUAAACCAAAGAAAAACU
RNAcentral lists this ribosomal RNA (806 nucleotides) under uncultured bacterium. RNAcentral describes it as "bacterial SSU rRNA". It matches the Rfam family "Bacterial small subunit ribosomal RNA", at positions 1 to 819 of the family's 1533-position model. The record is from RNAcentral.